Molecule: long non-coding RNA, 366 nt
Filed under: Trifolium pratense (red clover)
Lineage: Eukaryota; Viridiplantae; Streptophyta; Magnoliopsida; Fabales; Fabaceae
Description: long non-coding RNA (TPRA_LNC006008)
Source: RNAcentral
UCAAUCACGAUCUCACUAUCCCUCUCACUCGAUCGGUGCCGUUCUCUCUCAUCCUAGAUUCGCGAUCGAAGACAUCUCUCUCACACUCGUUCUCUCUCGAACCCUAGUCUCCAAUCCCUUUCACUGAAUCACAAAUUCCAAUCCCUAAUUGAAGAAUCAAGGCUUACUGAACCCAAAUCGAAGCUCAGUGAAAUGAAUCAAAGCUCUCUCAGCUCGUUACAGAGUCAUAAUCGCACCGCCUCUUCUCUCGAUCUAAAACUGGUGAGUUCUGACGAUUAAGGGUUUUUAGGUUUUAGCAUAUGUUUAUCUUUCAUUUUAAUCUUUGAUUUUGAUGAUUAAGGGUUUAAUCCUGUGUAAUUUUUUGUA